CUACGGGCUGCAGCAGUAAGGAAUAUUGCACAAUGGGGGAAACCCUGAUGCAGCAACGCCGCGUGAACGAAGAAGGCCUUCGGGUUGUAAAGUUCUUUUCUGGGGGAAGAGGAAGGACGGUACCCCAGGAACAAGUCUCGGCUAACUACGUGCCAGCAGCCGCGGUAAGACGUAGGAGGCAAGCGUUAUCCGGAUGCAUUGGGCGUAAAGGGCAAGUAGGCGGUUGUCAAAGUCAGGUGUGACAUCUCCCGGCUCAACUGGGAGGGAGCGCUUGAUACUAGGCGACUAGAGGGCAGAGAGGGAGGCGGAACUCCUAGUGUAGCGGUGGAAUGCUCAGAUACUAGGAAGAACACCAGUGGCGAAGGCGGCCUCCUGGACUGACCCUGACGCUGAGAGGCGAAAGCUAGGGUAGCGAACGGGAUUAGAUACCCGUGUAGUC
RNAcentral lists this ribosomal RNA (439 nucleotides) under uncultured bacterium. RNAcentral's name for it is "partial 16S ribosomal RNA". It matches the Rfam family "Bacterial small subunit ribosomal RNA", at positions 339 to 795 of the family's 1533-position model. The record is from RNAcentral.